UACGUAGGCAGCAAGCGUUGUUCGGAGUUACUGGGCGUAAAGGGUGUGUAGGCGGUUCCCUAAGUUUGGUGUGAAAUCUCCCGGCUUAACCGGGAGGGUGCGCCGAAAACUGGGGAGCUAGAGUAUGGGAGAGGAAAGUGGAAUUCCUGGUGUAGCGGUGAAAUGCGUAGAUAUCAGGAGGAACACCUGCGGUGUAGACGGCUUUCUGGACCAUCACUGACGCUGAGACACGAAAGCGUGGGUAGCAAACAG
Molecule: ribosomal RNA, 252 nt
Filed under: uncultured bacterium
Lineage: Bacteria
Description: partial 16S ribosomal RNA
Rfam family: Bacterial small subunit ribosomal RNA
Source: RNAcentral